This 276-nucleotide unclassified non-coding RNA is filed under the name Hevea brasiliensis (rubber tree). Lineage: Eukaryota; Viridiplantae; Streptophyta; Magnoliopsida; Malpighiales; Euphorbiaceae. The record is from RNAcentral.
GUGGAAUCCACGCCAUCCCCUCUAUAAAAGCCUGGCUCCGGCACUCUGUUAGCCUUCUUUCGCUUGUCUUCAGAUUUGUAUGGUUGCGUUUGUCUGCGUUCCGUUUCUUUCUUCAACUUUCAGCUAAGUCUUCCUCUUUUCUUUUCUUUUUAUAUCUUGGCUAUCGUCGCCCUCCCCCCCUUUCGUCCUCCUUCGCUUUCGUAAUCUCUUGUUGAUCUUGAUCCAGAUCUAGGGUUUCUGAUCUCUGCGUUCGAUUUUUCCUCUUAGAUCUUAAUU